Molecule: unclassified non-coding RNA, 240 nt
Filed under: soil metagenome
Description: partial contains 5.8S ribosomal RNA, internal transcribed spacer 2, and large subunit ribosomal RNA
Source: RNAcentral
AACGCACGAGACCUGCGGACCUGCGGAAGGAUCAUUAAUGAGAAACUGCCCCUCGCGGGUAGAUCUCCCACCCUUUGUAAACUUACCUUUGUUGCUUUGGCAGGCCCGUCUCCGGACCGCCGGCUUCGGCUGGCCAGUGCCUGCCAGAGGAUUCCAAAACUCUGUCUGUCAGUGUUGUCUGAGUCUAUAUACAAUCGUUAAAACUUUCAACAAUGGAUCUCUAGAUCGGAAGAGCACACG